GAUGAACGCUGGCGGCGUGCCUAAUACAUGCAAGUCGAGCGAACAGACGAGGAGCUUGCUCCUCUGACGUUAGCGGCGGACGGGUGAGUAACACGUGGAUAACCUACCUAUAAGACUGGGAUAACUUCGGGAAACCGGAGCUAAUACCGGAUAAUAUAUUGAACCGCAUGGUUCAAUAGUGAAAGACGGUUUUGCUGUAACUUAUAGAUGGAUCCGCGCCGCAUUAGCUAGUUGGUAAGGUAACGGCUUACCAAGGCAACGAUGCGUAGCCGACCUGAGAGGGUGAUCGGCCACACUGGAACUGAGACACGGUCCAGACUCCUACGGGAGGCAGCAGUAGGGAAUCUUCCGCAAUGGGCGAAAGCUUGACGGAGCAACGCCGCGUGAGUGAUGAAGGUCUUCGGAUCGUAAAACUCUGUUAUUAGGGAAGAACAAAUGUGUAAGUAACUAUGCACGUCUUGACGGUACCUAAUCAGAAAGCCACGGCUAACUACGUG
Molecule: ribosomal RNA, 497 nt
Filed under: uncultured bacterium
Lineage: Bacteria
Description: partial 16S ribosomal RNA
Rfam family: Bacterial small subunit ribosomal RNA
Source: RNAcentral